Ruditapes philippinarum (Manila clam) is the source of this 718-nucleotide long non-coding RNA. RefSeq lists it as uncharacterized. NCBI's taxonomy places the organism in Eukaryota, Metazoa, Mollusca, Bivalvia, Venerida, Veneridae. The record is from RefSeq and is a predicted model, not a curated record. The transcript has 3 exons.
GACAGUAUAAAUACCGUCAUCUCAGAAAGACUUUAUUAUAAUCUUAAAAGUAACAAGAACAUAAUACUUGUCAUCAGAAUUACUGUUAAGGUAAUAUUCACGGGAAAGUUGAUAAGGGUAACGAGUUAAAGAGAUCGUCAAUUAUUACUACAAGAUGGAGUUGAUGAAAGCCGUUCAGUUAUUUGCCAUAAUUUGCACCGUCCUAAUUCAUGUGUGUUUGUGCAAAAGUCACAGUGACGAGUGUAUCUGCAAAAUAAAUAAAGAUUCGACGGCAUGUGAAAUUGUUCCAACUGGCUCUAGAGCCACUAUCAGAUGUUGUUGUGCAGCAAAAUUUAGGAGAAGGGGUAACGGCUAUAGGGUCAAUGGAUGUUUCCAGGCACAUAACUGUCAAUGGUUGACUAGAGUAUAAUACACAUCACCGAUUGCAACAGAUGAUUUGCUCAAUGGCUUUUAUUAAUUUGUAUUUUUGUUGUGUUCUUAUGAGUUGUAAUAUACUCUCUCUGACACUCCCUGGAUAAAAACAGAUUUAUUUUUAUUUUUGGGAUUAUAAGUCAAUGUGAUAUGUAUGAAAAGUAUUGGCUGUAGAUGCUUUAAUCCAUUUAUUUUGGUAUUGUUUGUUACAGCAUUCUUAAGUCAAAUUGUUUUAUUUCUUUAUUUUAUACGUUUAUGUUUUUACAAAACAGUAUAUUUAUUGCAUAUAAUAAAAUAUUUUAUGUUA